This 126-nucleotide ribosomal RNA is filed under the name Reinerantha foliicola. RNAcentral's name for it is "partial 18S ribosomal RNA". It matches the Rfam family "Eukaryotic small subunit ribosomal RNA", at positions 1710 to 1831 of the family's 1831-position model. Lineage: Eukaryota; Viridiplantae; Streptophyta; Jungermanniopsida; Porellales; Lejeuneaceae. The record is from RNAcentral.
UCGGAUCGCGGCGACGCCGGCGGUUCGCCGCCGUUGUUGUUGUGAGAAGUUCAUUAAACCUUAUCAUUUAGAGGAAGGAGAAGUCGUAACAAGGUUUCCGUAGGUGAACCUGCGGAAGGAUCAUUG